RNAcentral lists this long non-coding RNA (683 nucleotides) under Nicotiana tabacum (common tobacco). Its description in RNAcentral is "long non-coding RNA (NTAB_LNC002193)". The record is from RNAcentral. Lineage: Eukaryota; Viridiplantae; Streptophyta; Magnoliopsida; Solanales; Solanaceae.
UUGUCUAAAUGAAAGCUAUAUAAAGGGGUCGUAGUGAAGCUUAAGAAGACAACAACUUUUCUCAUUUGUUUCAAAGAUGGGGAAAAUGGCUUCUCUAUUUGCCACUCUUUUUGUAGUUUUAGUGUCACUUAGCUUAGCUUCUGAAAGCUCAGCAAAUUAUCAAUACUCAUCUCCACCACCACCUAAGAAACCAUACCUCUACAAGUCUCCUCUUCCACCAGUGCAUGUCUAUCCAUCACCACCCCACCACCCUGUAUAUAAGUCUCCACCGCCACCUAAGAAGCCAUACCACCCUUCACCAACACCAUAUCAUCCUGCACCCGUUUAUAAAUCUCCACCACCACCAACUCCAGUUUACAAGUCACCACCACCACCCAAGAAGCCACACUAUCCUCCACACACCCCGGUUUACAAGUCGCCACCACCACCAACUCCCGUUUACAAGUCACCACCACCACCCAAGAAGCCAUCCUACCCUCCACACACCCCAGUUUACAAGUCGCCACCACCACCAGCUCCGGUUUACAAGUCACCGCCGCCACCCAAGAAACCAUACUACCCUCCACACACCCCUGUUUACAAAUCUCCACCACCACCGACUCCAGUUUACAAGUCGCCACCACCACCCAAGAAGCCAUACUACCCUCCACACACCCCGGUUUAUAAGUCUCCACCACCACCAA